Non-coding RNA from Pogona vitticeps (central bearded dragon), 462 nucleotides. NCBI's taxonomy places the organism in Eukaryota, Metazoa, Chordata, Lepidosauria, Squamata, Agamidae. The record is from RefSeq and is a predicted model, not a curated record.
CUCUCCCUUAUAUAUUGGGUGUAGAAGUCAUUCAGAGCAAGUGGUUAAAAAGGGAGAGGUCCUGCUUCAUCCCCACGGAAAAAAAAGAGAGAGGAAACUGCCUUGUGCCAGGACUAUGAAGGACGUAGGCAGAGAAACACAUCUGCAGUGCUAUCCGGGCACCUGAGGGAGAAGAGUAGGAACACAAAGCCAAAGUAACUUGGUUUCCAAUUCAAAUGAUCCUUGCAACCCAAAGUGACUCUUGGACUGGCGAAAGAGAGAAGACGAUAUAUGCUGGAGGAACAGAAGACUGGCCUAACAUCAUGGCAUUGCAAGGGAUAGUAGCUGUAAAAGUGGCAAGCUGAUCCUACCUCACCCCUCAUGUUUCAGAUAAGAUGCCAAAUAUGGCUGAUCCCUCAUUUUCCCUCCAGUUAAUUCUUCUUUCCUUCUUUUUUUUUGCCAUCUUGAAUAAACUAUUAAUUU